UGAGUUCUUGAUGAUUUUUUCUGCUGUCUUCGCCACUCUCUGCAGGCGUUUGCGGUCCAUAGUAGAUGUGCUGUCGUACCACACGGUGAUGCAGCUGGUCAAUAUGCUCUCAAUGAUGCAGCUGUAGAAGUUGCUGAGGAUCUUAGGAGUCAUCCCAAACUUCCUCAGCCUCCUCAGGAAGUACAGCCGCUGUUGAGCCUUCAUGACUAGCUGUGUGGUGUUUAAUGUCCAGGUGAGGUCCUCACUGAAGUGGACCCCGAGGUAUUUAAAGCUGAAAUGAAUGAAGCAGCAGCAGCACAACAGACACAUAUUACUACUAUAUUAUUAUUACUUUGGCUACCCCCCCAUUUUCAGGGGUGCUCUUUCCGUUGGUGGCAGUGCCCGGCAGCUAUGACCUUCGGUCCCUGAGAUAUUCAGGGAAAACACUCCCCAUUAUAAGCGAAUGGGAUGGUCAGUAGUGAAAGUUUCACCAAGUGUGGAGGCCCAAAUCGUUCCUCCAGAAUAGUGAUAGGAGCAUGUUUCAGGUCAUUUGUAGUCUUGGUGGUGGUGGUUUAUAGUGGUGGAUUUGUUUUGGAGAGCAUCACAUUUAUAUUUGUACUGUAAUUCUGUUCAUACUACCAUAAUUAUAUUCCACUGAUAAUUCUGUUUAUAUUUAUACUGUUCAUUCUGUUCAUCCUGCCAUAUCUGCCAUAUUUAUACUCUUGAUAUGGUCUAGAUUUGACACUGCCUCUGUGUGGCACAAAACAACUGGAAACAGUGGCUCUGCCUGCACAAAAGCACUGGAGAUGACGAAAGAAGCUUCGAGCCACUUUGUGAAGAAAGGUUCAUCUUCUGAACUAAAGUUGCAAUUUUAAGCUUCUCUCGCCAUCUCCAAUGCUUUUGUGCACGCAAAGCCACUGUUUUCAGCUGUUUUGUGCACACAGAGCCACUUUAUGAAUAAAUCACAUGAUGACCAGUGGAGAGACCUUGGACCAUCAUUUCAGACAGUCAGUGACUGGCAUUUAACCAUGACGCCUGAUCUAUUCACCUUGCAUGAAUGCUUUCAGUUUCAAAUUUUCUCCAAAUCAGUGUUUUCCUGCCACACGAUCAUUGUAUGUGGUUGAUGACUAUCUCCAUUUUCAUAUCAUGUUGUCAAACCAAUCAGAUGUUCUCCUGCUUGUAGACUUGCCAGAAAUGCUGUGGGCAAAGGACAAAUACGAUGUGGGCCUCAUCAGAAACUGUGACCCAGUUACAAUUACCCCAAAAUCUGAAUAUCGACCAUGUAAACAAUGGUACCCAGUCAGACAGGAAGCUGUGGAUAGGAUACGCCCUGUUUUUGCAUCUCUCCUGCAGGCUGGUGUAAUUAUCCCCUGCCCUGAUUCGCCAGUCCAUACUCCACUGUUUCCAGUUAAGAAAAUCAGAGUGUUGUAUAUUGGGGUAGCGAUGAUGUGAAGAUGAUGAAGGAAUCGCCGAUUGACACCGUUUGAUUGUUUGAAAGGUUUAUUACAAAAAGUUCAGCAUCAAUACAAGCACUGCAAUCUGCCUGGAGAGAGAUCUGGGGCCAAUGUGAAUCUCUUCUCCCUAACAGCUUCAACUCCCCGUUUAUAUAGGAGAGUUGUUUUUGUGAAUCUAAAGAAAACACAUCUGGCUUUCAUCCAGCCCACCUCAUCUGUUUGGUAACAGGGAGGGAAAGGCACCAGCUCAAAUUUAGGGUGACAGUUUAAGCCGUGACCUAAUGCAUUAAUGUAUACAUUCAGUUUUUCUCAGAAAACCUAAACUUAUAGGCCUCUGAAUUCCUCAGGACCUAUGGGCCUCAAACUCAGAGAUCAGCUUCCUUUAAAGAGAACACAACACAUGACAUUUCAGACACCACAAGAGAUAAAGGUCAGCCUAUUGAGUGGUGAUUUGUGCAGGAUUUGAAGGCUGUGAAUGACGCUGUAAUUGCUCGAUCACCCAUUGUUCCCAACCCGUACACGUUGCUUUCCCAAAUUCCGCCUGAUGCAGAGUGGUUUUCGGUUGUAGAUUUAUCCAAUGCUUUUUUUUAAACGUUCCUGUCCACAAGGACAGCCAGUACUGGUUUGCUUUUAACUUUGAAAACAAGGCCUACACAUUCAGACGCCUUUGUCGAGGCUACUGUGAGCCUACUUCUCUGCUAAACUUGACCCAGUGGCAGCUGGCCCUCCACAAAGCUUGUGUGCAGUGGCCGCCUGUGAAAAAGCAGUUCUUGCCUCACGUGACAUCGUAGGCUACUCUGACUUGACACUUCUUGUUACUCAUGCUGUGUCUCUCAUUCUCACAGAACAGAAGACCUCACAUCUUUCUGCUGCUAGCUGUUCUUCUUGAUAUGCCCAACAUCACAGUGAAACGCUGUUCAACCUUGAAUCCAGCCACGCUUCUCCCGCUUCCAGAUGACGGGUGGAGAACACAACUGUGUUGCUGAACUACAAGUCCAGUGUUCACCACAACCUGACCUUUCUGAUGAACUAUGACUUGAUUCUGUAUGUAAAUGGGUCCGCCUCACGUGAACCCGGUCUCUGGUACUAACUUUGUUGGUUUUUCUGUCUAUUCUGAUAGUGACAUUCUCUUCUCUGGUCCUUUUCCUCAUCACCUCUCAGCCCAGGCAGCAGAACUCAUUGUGCUCACUGAAAGCAUGCAAAUUGGCUACUGGUAAAACACUCACAGUUUACAAAGACUCCGGAUAUGCAUUUGGUUUCACUCAUGAUUUUGGUGCUCUCUGCAGGCACAGGUAAUUUUUGGUUGUUCACCAUGGCCUCACCAUUAGAAGGUAAAUCUCACUGCUUAGUGAUGGUCAACAUGUGGUCAAAAUGGGUUGAAGCCUUUCCUGCUUCAAAACAAACUGCAAGUGUAGUCACCAAAGCACUGUUACAAGACAUCAUUCCACAAUGGGGGAUUCCUAGCAGAAUCUAAAGUGACAAAGCUGUCAAACAACUCAGCUCUCAUCUAGGAAUGGAUGUGCGAACACACUGUGCAUAUCAUCCAGCCAGUGGCGGAGCUUUGGAACGAGAAAAUGCACACUCAAAACGAAGCUCGCAAAGUGCUGUGAAGACAGAGGUCUCACAUGGACAAAGGUCCUGCCUCUGGCGCUGAUGUAUAUGAGGAUGAGAAAACGAACCAGGUCUAACCUUUCACCUUAUGAGAUUCUUUUUGCAACUCCUCCCCA
Molecule: unclassified non-coding RNA, 3160 nt
Filed under: Hevea brasiliensis (rubber tree)
Lineage: Eukaryota; Viridiplantae; Streptophyta; Magnoliopsida; Malpighiales; Euphorbiaceae
Source: RNAcentral